AGGAUUAGAUACCCUGGUAGUCCAUGCCGUAAACGAUGUCUACUAGCCGUUGGGGCCUUUGAGGCUUUAGUGGCGCAGCUAACGCGAUAAGUAGACCGCCUGGGGAGUACGGUCGCAAGACUAAAACUCAAAUGAAUUGACGGGGGCCCGCACAAGCGGUGGAGCAUGUGGUUUAAUUCGAUGCAACGCGAAGAACCUUACCUGGCCUUGACAUACUAGAAACUUUCCAGAGAUGGAUUGGUGCCUUCGGGAAUCUAGAUACAGGUGCUGCAUGGCUGUCGUCAGCUCGUGUCGUGAGAUGUUGGGUUAAGUCCCGCAACGAGCGCAACCCUUUUCCUUACUUGCCAGCAUUUCGGAUGGGAACUUUAAGGAUACUGCCAGUGACAAACUGGAGGAA
Molecule: ribosomal RNA, 397 nt
Filed under: uncultured bacterium
Lineage: Bacteria
Description: bacterial SSU rRNA
Rfam family: Bacterial small subunit ribosomal RNA
Source: RNAcentral